GAAGAAACUCACCUUUUUAUCAAUACAUUUAAAUGAUUUAAUGAAUAAACACUUUUAAAACUGUUUGUUUCUAUUUACAUAGAUAUAGGAAGAAGUGGUGUGAGUGUCAAUGAGACAACUCUCCAUCCAAAAACAUUUAUAAAAGAAAACCAUGAUUAUAGAUCAAUGUACAGCCUUCAACACAGAGCCUUGGCCCAAACUGAACAACAAGCUAUAUAAAGGAUCCC
RNAcentral lists this long non-coding RNA (227 nucleotides) under Mytilus galloprovincialis (Mediterranean mussel). Lineage: Eukaryota; Metazoa; Mollusca; Bivalvia; Mytilida; Mytilidae. The record is from RNAcentral.